Molecule: ribosomal RNA, 774 nt
Filed under: uncultured Neocallimastigales
Lineage: Eukaryota; Fungi; Neocallimastigomycota; Neocallimastigomycetes; Neocallimastigales
Description: partial large subunit ribosomal RNA
Rfam family: Eukaryotic large subunit ribosomal RNA (bases 2-694)
Source: RNAcentral
ACACGCAUGACACACUGCAUAUCAAUAAGCGGAGGAAAAGAAACUAACAAGGAUUCCCUAGUAACGGCGAGUGAAGCGGGAAGAGCUCAAAUUUGAAAUCUUAAAGGGUUCUACCUUGACGAAUUGUAGUUUAAAGAAGUGUUUUCUAGUUGGAGUUUUCGGUAAAAGUUCUUUGGAAUAGGACAUCAUAGAGGGUGAGAAUCCCGUAUUUGAUCAUUCUCCUAACUUUGUGAUACACUUUCAACGAGUCGGAUUGUUUGGGAAUGCAGUCCAAAAUGGGUGGUAAAUUUCAUCUAAAGCUAAAUAUUGGCGAGAGACCGAUAGCGAACAAGUACCGUGAGGGAAAGAUGAAAAGAACUUUGAAAAGAGAGUUAAACAGUACGUGAAAUUGUCAAAAGGGAAGCGUUUGACACCAGUGUUGUUCGUUCGAAAAUCAAUUACAAUAGUUUUGAUUUAUAGUAGUUAUGACUUCAUCAGCUUGCUUCUCUCUUUAUGAAACUUUCUUAAUGCACUUUUCGGUUAACAAGUCAACAUCAAUUUCUUUUGUUGUAAAAGGGUAUGAGGAAGGUGGCUUUCUUUUCGGAGAAAGUGUUUAUAGCCUUGUACCUCUGCAAUCGGAGAGAUUGAGGUCUGCAGCGUAGAUCCUUCGGGGUUAGAUACAUUUGUGCUAAGCUAUAGUUCUUUAUAGACAACUUGUUGACUAUAAUCAAUCCUGUAACUUACUCGCUUAUGCUAUUUUACCUACGCUUAGGAUGUUGAACUACUGAGACAUAG